UACGUAGGGCGCAAGCGUUGUCCGGAAUUAUUGGGCGUAAAGAGCUCGUAGGCGGUUCGUCACGUCGGGAGUGAAAACUCGGAGCUUAACUCCGAGCCUGCUUCCGAUACGGGCAGACUAGAGUGCGGUAGGGGAGACUGGAAUUCCUGGUGUAGCGGUGAAAUGCGCAGAUAUCAGGAGGAACACCGGUGGCGAAGGCGGGUCUCUGGGCCGUAACUGACGCUGAGGAGCGAAAGCAUGGGGAGCGAAUAGG
Molecule: ribosomal RNA, 253 nt
Filed under: uncultured bacterium
Lineage: Bacteria
Description: partial 16S ribosomal RNA
Rfam family: Bacterial small subunit ribosomal RNA
Source: RNAcentral